Molecule: ribosomal RNA, 120 nt
Filed under: Bipolaris zeicola 26-R-13
Lineage: Eukaryota; Fungi; Ascomycota; Dothideomycetes; Pleosporales; Pleosporaceae
Source: RNAcentral
ACAUACGGCCAUAGGCGAAGUCCUGCUCUGGGUCUCGUUCGUUCCCCAAAUGAUAAACCUUCGACCGGCGGACUAGUAGUCAGGUGGGUGACCACUGGCGAAUCCCCGCUGUCGUAUGUU